GAGAGGAGGGCGUUAGCUGGAGGGCUGCCCUCACUACUAACAUUGUAUUGUUGCUUUAUUUGUACCGUGAACCAUAGUAUUCUCCAAUGAUAUCAGAGGUCCAUCGUUACAACCGAGAUCAACUUUGUAAUUUCAUAAUGCAGCACCAUAAACUCACAUUGAAGCAUAUGGAAGAGCAACACCGAAAGGCUAAGGUUCUAUUUCAUAAGAUGCAUACAUUAGACCCUGACCAUCACCUAUUUCAUAUCAAAUAAUUUUGAAAUCUCUUGUUGAGGUGUGCUUGUAAUUGAUUUCUCAUUAUAUGUAGUCUAAUUUUUGAGGUACUAACGUAUAUGAGAAAUUACUCUCGUAUUUAAUGGUUACUCUUCAGUCGAAUUAAAUAGCAGUAAUUCAGUUUAUUACUUUCAUUCAGCAUAAUACACCAUGGUUUGGGUGAUAAAAAGUUACAUCAUUGACCAUGCAUAUUCAACCUACAUAAGUAAUUGCUCGGAAAAUGAAUAUCCUUUAGAAGAAGUAUUUGCUAUUUGAGCAAGAUUUUCUACCUCUGCCAUUAUUGAAAGUUGGAAGAGAACAAAGGGAUCUAUGUGAAGAUAGUGAUCAGUAUUGUGUUCUUGCGGUUAUGGAAAACUAAGCGAUUCGUUGUUAAAGUGAACUAUUAAUUCUCUUCUGCUUUGUGUAGCCAAUAAUUAAAGUUGGCCAUAUUUAUUAUUGCUUUCUCCUUUUGGUUCUUGGGGUUCAUCUUGAAAGUCUUAGUUUCUCUUCUUGUGCGGUGAUGAUCUGGUUCAAUGGUAAUUUUUCAUUUCCGGAUUAAUGGUCUGUCGUGCCACUGUAGCAGUUCAGUGUAAUUUGUUGUGUAAAUGUAAAUGUUUUGAGAUGCAUAUCAGUGUUAAUUUUAAAUACUUGUUCAAGAGCUUGUCGCAUUAUUGUAAAUAUGUUCUGCAUCCACCGUACUUGUAUUGGAUACUAACAUUUACAGAGUGAUAUGAGAGAUGACAAACUUAUCAUAAAUGGUCUGUCGGAGCAAAGCUUGUAAGCUUAGCUUGUGAUCCACACAAUAAGCACUUCUCUGGUAAGUGAUCUCGUUGUUUUUUGACAUUCUAGAUUCCGCUUGUCUGCCAUGUAUAGAACAUAUUGGAAAUUACUCAUUGAUGGCAGCAACCUUUUGCUAAACAUGUAUUGAAGUUUCCAAUCAGAGACAGUAUGAUUGAAACCCAAAUGAAGAUUUUGUACUAUCUUUUGAAUAAAAACAACAUAUCUUGUGUAGAACGUGGAUCCAUGACUAUGGAUGGACUCGGGCAUAUCUCAACUGCAAAACUACACUAGGUCCUCCCUACUGUUAUAAUCUAAGGCUAUAGUAAAUAGUAAAUGCAGUUGCACAGUUCUGAUUCACUUUCUGGUGCACGUGUUGCUUAGUCAAUUCCUACCACAUCUUUCUUGGAACAAAGGCUUUGAUGUUCUUGUUACAUGACAGCUAUGUCUUGCAGGUUAGUCUUGACAAUUGGAUGGCUCAACCAUUUGAUAUAUGGACAACUUCAUGAAAUUCAAAUCCUGGACAACCACGUUUACUCUGCAUGCACACACUACGGUUGCUUCUUCCAUAUCCAUCAGCCCGUGUAAGCUUAAUUUCAUAGCAACCGGUGUAAUGGAUACAAUGAUGCGAAUUUUGCAUUGAAGAGGCUACUAACACUUCCGGUAUUAACCGAACCAGUUGCUAACAUGUCUCUAAAUGCAGGUGGAACUCUGGGAUAUAUCAAACAAGCAGCCUUAAGUGAUUUCCUAAACUCGGAGCUGUACAUACAGUUCCGUUUUCGAAUGUCGGCCCCUUUUUUACUAGCAUGUGGAGGAUCAAAAAGCAAACUAAAGGUCUGGAAUACACUGUAGGAACCAGUGGUAGCUAAUAAAUUUGGCAAGUAGACAUACUGGAAAAUGGAUCAGCUUUUUGAAGACUCAAAAAACUUGGUAUCCAUUGAAGUUACGUGUUGUGGUUGUUUCUCGCUGUGUGUGAGAAGAGAUGGAUUUUCAUGCUAAUAAAGUGAAUGUCCCAGUUUUAUUAUGGAGCAAAAUGGAAGCAUGGGCUGACCUUGAUAAAAUAAGAUUGUUUACCACUGCAGAAGGUGGUUUUAUAUUCCUAAUUCAUGUGCCAUUAGCAUUGUUAUGCUUCUUAAAUCUAUCACUAUUAAAGAUGUGGCUUCCCUCUCCUGGUUUACUUUCUUUUAGUUAUGGCUCGCUUACUUGCGUCGUUUCUCCACGAGCUGUCGCUGCUGUCGUGACGUUGAAGUUAUCCGCAUGUAAUUUUGUCUGGCCUUGCAUGUUUGCUCGAACAAUAGUUUGCUCUUUAGUCAGCAGUUUCUUCUUGUAGUUUAUUUUUUGUCUUGUUAGAAUAUUUCGCCUUUUGCCAUCUAAACAUGACUAGCUAUUGUAUUGAUAUGUAAUUUGUUUCUGACCAACUUAUUGGAUUUUCCCCAGUUUGAGUUUGUCAGCUCCUUCAAAGCAAAUCGCUUGUAAGAGUUCCUUAUGUAACCUGGUUUAGUUCCUAUUCACAUGAUGCUAUUUGUAAUAUUUUGGUCUUCUACAUUACUGCUGCCUUUUUGUUGCUGCUGAUGACCUUGAUAAAAUAAGAUUGUUUACCACUGCAGAAGGUGGUUUUAUAUUCCUAAUUCGUGUGCCAUUAGCACUGCACUGUUCUUCUUCUUAAAUCUAUCACUAUUAAAGAUGUGGCUUCCCUCUCCUGGUUUAUUUUCUUUUAGUUAUGGCUCGCUUACGUGCGUCGUUUCCCCGCGAGCUGUCGCUGCUGUCGUGACGUUGAAGUUAUCCGCAUGUAAUUUUGACUGGCCUUGCAUGUUUGCUCGAACAAUAGUUUGCUGUUUGUCUGCAUGCACAUGUUCCGCGGUCUACCUGUUUAGUCAGCAGUUUCUUCUUGUAGUUUUUUUUCUGUCUUGUUAGAAUAUUUUGCCUUUUGCCAUCUAAACAUGACAUUGAUAUGUAAUUUGUUUCUGACCAACUUAUUGGAUUUUCCCCAGUUUGAGUUUGUCAGCUCCUUCAAAGCAAAUCGCUUGUAAGAGUUCCUUAUGUAACCUGGUUUAGUUCCUAUUCACAUGAUGCUACUUGUAAUACUUUGGUCUUCU
Molecule: long non-coding RNA, 3125 nt
Organism: Lolium rigidum
Lineage: Eukaryota; Viridiplantae; Streptophyta; Magnoliopsida; Poales; Poaceae
Exons: 4
Source: RefSeq, a predicted model, not a curated record